ACUCUCUUACCUGGACUUCUGAUGCAGACCAACAGUUUAUCAGCUUGAAACAAUUUCUGUCCUCUACGGCCUCGUUGGCAAUUCCAGACUACAUCAAAAUGUUCUUUCUUGAUGUGUCUGAAAAAUCAAGCAGUGUAUCUGCUGUGCUUUUUCAGAAAAGGGGAGAUAGUGAACGAUACACUUGCUUGUAUGCAUCCACUCCACUUGACAAAUAUGAACAACGACAUCCUUUAUGUGCGGCUUUUGCCUCAGCUCUUGCUCGGCUCGUUCAGAAAACAUCGUACAUAGUUUUACAUCAUCCACUCACUAUCCGCACAUCACACAGCACUGUACAAUACGUCACAAGCCAGGCAUUCACCAUGACAGGAGGGAGACAAAGAAAAUCGAGACAAUACUAACCCAACCCCACAUCUUGUUUACACACGAAGGUGUAAACAAUAUGGCGGAAGGAAUGAUGGAAGGAAAACCACACUGCUGCACACUGCGGAGAGUGGACGAAAACACGCACAGAGAACUGAAUGAGACACCAUUGAAUAAUCCAGACAUGAUACCGUUUACAGAUGGGUGUUGCUUCAAAGGAGAACAAGGACUCCAGUCGGGAUUCGCUGUGACACGAAUGGCGGAUGACGACUUCACGGCAGUUCUGGAAAGGAAGUGGUCGGAACCAAGGUGGGCGGGUCAAUACAAGGUGACGGAGAGAACUUCAUCUGCUGCUCGCCUGCAAGGAAAGAGGGACACGUGGUUCCACUUGACGUCUACCAGACCAACUCGAGGCCCAACACGGAUCAGCUUCCAUCACAUCAACAGCCAGAGAGACCAGCCUGGGACGACUACAACGCCUGACGACUUUGAAGCUCGACGAAUCCUGAACAGAGCCAGACGAUUCCAGAUUGAACCCAACUACAGACAACGCAAGAGCAACUCCCACCCAGGAAAACUGCAAUCCAACAGUAGCUGACCUCACAUCGAA
Long non-coding RNA from Hippocampus zosterae (dwarf seahorse), 970 nucleotides. RefSeq lists it as uncharacterized. The transcript is spliced from 2 exons. Lineage: Eukaryota; Metazoa; Chordata; Actinopteri; Syngnathiformes; Syngnathidae. The record is from RefSeq and is a predicted model, not a curated record.